RNAcentral lists this ribosomal RNA (449 nucleotides) under uncultured bacterium. RNAcentral describes it as "partial 16S ribosomal RNA". It matches the Rfam family "Bacterial small subunit ribosomal RNA", at positions 330 to 795 of the family's 1533-position model. The record is from RNAcentral.
GCCAGACUCCUACGGGAGGCAGCAGUGGGGGAUAUUGCACAAUGGGGGGAACCCUGAUGCAGCGACGCCGCGUGGGUGAAGGAGCGUUUCGGCGCGUAAAGCCCUAUCGGCAGGGAAGAAGGAGGACGGUACCUGACUAAGAAGCCCCGGCUAACUACGUGCCAGCAGCCGCGGUAAUACGUAGGGGGCAAGCGUUAUCCGGAUUUACUGGGUGUAAAGGGGGCGCAGACGGCAGCGCAAGCCAGGAGUGAAAGCCCGGGGCCCAACCCCGGGACUGCUCUUGGAACUGCGCGGCUGGAGUGCAGGAGGGGCAGGCGGAAUUCCUGGUGUAGCGGUGAAAUGCGUAGAUAUCAGGAGGAACACCGGUGGCGAAGGCGGCCUGCUGGACUGCGACUGACGUUGAGGCCCGAAAGCGUGGGGAGCAAACAGGAUUAGAUACCCCCGUAGAA